GGCGUGUCGUCAGCAGUCGUGCUCCGAGGACUGAAAAUCCCCGUGUCGGCGGUUCAAGUCCGCCCCUGGCCACCA
Molecule: transfer RNA, 75 nt
Filed under: Myxococcota bacterium
Lineage: Bacteria; Pseudomonadati; Myxococcota
Description: tRNA-Phe
Source: RNAcentral